This 497-nucleotide ribosomal RNA is filed under the name uncultured bacterium. RNAcentral's name for it is "partial 16S ribosomal RNA". It matches the Rfam family "Bacterial small subunit ribosomal RNA", at positions 28 to 507 of the family's 1533-position model. The record is from RNAcentral.
GAUGAACGCUGGCGGCGUGCCUAAUACAUGCAAGUCGAGCGAACAGAUGAGGAGCUUGCUCCUCUGACGUUAGCGGCGGACGGGUGAGUAACACGUGGAUAACCUACCUAUAAGACUGGGAUAACUUCGGGAAACCGGAGCUAAUACCGGAUAAUAUAUUGAACCGCAUGGUUCAAUAGUGAAAGACGGUUUUGCUGUCACUUAUAGAUGGAUCCGCGCCGCAUUAGCUAGUUGGUAAGGUAACGGCUUACCAAGGCAACGAUGCGUAGCCGACCUGAGAGGGUGAUCGGCCACACUGGAACUGAGACACGGUCCAGACUCCUACGGGAGGCAGCAAUAGGGAAUCUGCCGCAAUGGGCGAAAGCCUGACGGAGCAACGCCGCGUGAGUGAUGAAGGUCUUCGGAUCGUAAAACUCUGUUAUUAGGGAAGAACAAAUGUGUAAGUAACUAUGCACGUCUUGACGGUACCUAAUCAGAAAGCCACGGCUAACUACGUG